AUUGAACGCUGGCGGCAUGCCUUACACAUGCAAGUCGAACGGCAGCACGGGUGCUUGCACCUGGUGGCGAGUGGCGAACAGGUGAGUAAUACAUCGGAACGUACCUUAUCGUGGGGGAUAACGCAGCGAAAGCUGUGCUAAUACCGCAUACGCCCUGAGGGGGAAAGCGGGGGAUCGCAAGACCUCGCGCGAUUAGAGCGGCCGAUGCCUGAUUAGCUUGUUGGUGGGGUAAAAGCCCACCAAGGCGACGAUCAGUAGCUGGUCUGAGAGGACGAUCAGCCAAGCUGGGACUGAGACACGGCCCAGACUCCUACGGGAGGCAGCAGUGGGGAAUUUUGGACAAUGGGGGCAACCCUGAUCCAGCAAUGCCGCGUGAGUGAAGAAGGCCUUCGGGUUGUAAAGCUCUUUUGUCAGGGAAGAAACACCGGCUCUAACACAGUCUGGGAAUGACGGUACCUGAAGAAUAAGCACCGGCUAACUACGUGCCAGCCGCCGCCGUAA
Molecule: ribosomal RNA, 501 nt
Filed under: uncultured bacterium
Lineage: Bacteria
Description: partial 16S ribosomal RNA
Rfam family: Bacterial small subunit ribosomal RNA
Source: RNAcentral